RNAcentral lists this ribosomal RNA (253 nucleotides) under uncultured bacterium. Its description in RNAcentral is "partial 16S ribosomal RNA". It matches the Rfam family "Bacterial small subunit ribosomal RNA", at positions 524 to 776 of the family's 1533-position model. The record is from RNAcentral.
UACGGGGGGAGCAAGCGUAGUUCGGAUUUACUGGGCGUAAAGGGCGCGUAGGCGGUAGCACAAGUCAGUUGUGAAAUCUCCGGGCUUAACUCGGAAAGGUCAACUGAUACUGUGCGACUAGAGUGCAGAAGGGGCAACUGGAAUUCUCGGUGUAGCGGUGAAAUGCGUAGAUAUCGAGAGGAACACCUGCGGCGAAGGCGGGUUGCUGGGCUGACACUGACGCUGAGGCGCGAAAGCCAGGGGAGCGAACGGG